UCCACAGUAGCUCAGUGGUAGAGCUAUCGGCUAUUAACCGAUCGGUCGUAGGUUCGAGUCCUACCUGUGGAGCCA
RNAcentral lists this transfer RNA (75 nucleotides) under Staphylococcus aureus. RNAcentral describes it as "tRNA-Asn". It matches the Rfam family "tRNA". From Rfam's summary of the family: Transfer RNA (tRNA) molecules are approximately 80 nucleotides in length. Their secondary structure includes four short double-helical elements and three loops (D, anti-codon, and T loops). Further hydrogen bonds mediate the characteristic L-shaped molecular structure. tRNAs have two regions of fundamental functional importance: the anti-codon, which is responsible for specific mRNA codon recognition, and the 3' end, to which the tRNAs corresponding amino acid is attached (by aminoacyl-tRNA synthetases). tRNAs cope with the degeneracy of the genetic code in two manners: having more than one tRNA (with a specific anti-codon) for a particular amino acid; and 'wobble' base-pairing, i.e. permitting non-standard base-pairing at the 3rd anti-codon position. The record is from RNAcentral. Lineage: Bacteria; Bacillati; Bacillota; Bacilli; Caryophanales; Staphylococcaceae.